GCCAGCUUGAAGAGGAGAAUUGGAAAGCUAGGACAGAGUCUGUGAAACUGCUACAUUUCUGUGGUCAAGGAGCUUAGGUUCAUUUGGUACUUAUGCAGUAGCUUAAUUUAAAUAGUCACCUCAGAAAAAUGCCUCAUAUUUACUUGAUUCAAAUCAUUCUAUUGUAUAUGUUUGGAUUAGCAAACCAAGUCUAAAGAUUGAGCUUUAGAAAGCAACUGGUUUAGUCAUUAGCUGCUAAGAAACAUACACACCUCAAUUCUGUUAUAGGUACCAUAAUAAUACCUCUUCCUCCUCACUGAAG
RNAcentral lists this long non-coding RNA (301 nucleotides) under Homo sapiens (human). Its description in RNAcentral is "LHRI_LNC1528.1". Lineage: Eukaryota; Metazoa; Chordata; Mammalia; Primates; Hominidae. The record is from RNAcentral.